RNAcentral lists this ribosomal RNA (498 nucleotides) under uncultured bacterium. Its description in RNAcentral is "partial 16S ribosomal RNA". It matches the Rfam family "Bacterial small subunit ribosomal RNA", at positions 27 to 507 of the family's 1533-position model. The record is from RNAcentral.
GGAUGAACGCUGGCGGCGUGCCUAAUACAUGCAAGUCGAGCGAACGGCCGAGAAGCUUGCUUCUCUGAUGUUAGCGGCGGACGGGUGAGUAACACGUGGAUAACCUACCUAUAAGACUGGGAUAACUUCGGGAAACCGUAGCUAAUACCGGAUAAUAUUUUGAACCGCAUGGUUCAAAAGUGAAAGACGGUCUUGCUGUCACUUAUAGAUGGAUCCGCGCUGCAUUAGCUAGUUGGUAAGGUAACGGCUUACCAAGGCAACGAUGCAUAGCCGACCUGAGAGGGUGAUCGGCCACACUGGAACUGAGACACGGUCCAGACUCCUACGGGAGGCAGCAGUAGGGAAUCUUCCGCAAUGGGCGAAAGCCUGACGGAGCAACGCCGCGUGAGUGAUGAAGGUCUUCGGAUCGUAAAACUCUGUUAUUAGGGAAGAACAUAUGUGUAAGUAACUGUGCACAUCUUGACGGUACCUAAUCAGAAAGCCACGGCUAACUACGUG